UACGGAGGGUGCGAGCGUUAAUCGGAAUUACUGGGCGUAAAGCGCGCGUAGGCGGUUUGCUAAGCGAGAUGUGAAAUCCCCGGGCUUAACCUGGGAACUGCAUUUCGAACUGGCAAGCUAGAGUGUAGAAGAGGGGUGUGGAAUUUCCGGUGUAGCGGUGAAAUGCGUAGAGAUCGGAAGGAACACCAGUGGCGAAGGCGACACCCUGGUCUAACACUGACGCUGAGGUGCGAAAGCGUGGGUAGCAAACAGG
This 253-nucleotide unclassified non-coding RNA is filed under the name uncultured Cellvibrionales bacterium. Its description in RNAcentral is "contains 16S-23S intergenic spacer region". It matches the Rfam family "Bacterial small subunit ribosomal RNA", at positions 524 to 776 of the family's 1533-position model. Lineage: Bacteria; Pseudomonadati; Pseudomonadota; Gammaproteobacteria; Cellvibrionales. The record is from RNAcentral.